CAGCUCAAGCCAGGACAGAACAGCUGCAGGGACAGCGACAGUGAAAGCGCUAGUGGAGAAUCCAAGGGUUUCCAGAGGAGCAGCUCUCGGGAGAGGCUCAGCGAUAGUUCAGCUCCUUCCAGCUUGGGGACAGGCUACUUCUUCUGGAUCUCUCUUUUCCGAGACAUGUAGUCAAAAAUUUCCCUCUGAAUAAUGUGUAACGAAGUCCAAUGCGGCAGAAUGAUUCGUGUGAGUAGUCGUUUGACCUUGGGCCGGGUGUGUGAUAUAUCUGUUUCUCCUUCACCACCCACCUAAUAGAGUUGUGAAUCUUCACCAAAUGACAUAAUUAAUGUGCACAGUUAAUGGUAAGCAAUAAA
This 356-nucleotide long non-coding RNA is filed under the name Rattus norvegicus (Norway rat). Its description in RNAcentral is "long non-coding RNA NONRATT007420". Lineage: Eukaryota; Metazoa; Chordata; Mammalia; Rodentia; Muridae. The record is from RNAcentral.